GUAAAUAAGAAAUCUGUCAACCAGUUUGCAGGCCAGGAAUGGGUGGAAUGUGUUUGCACUGGCAAAGGGGAAUAACAGUAAAGAUAAUGGUAACAAUAACAACGUGUGUGUUUUUAGUGGGCACUACUGUAUGCUGUAGGGAUGCUUAGGGGAAGUUAGUAUACUUAAGAGUAUGCACCACAUAGUUCAUUUUUAGGGUGUUUGCAGCAGGGGUAUUUCAUUUUCAUACAAUCACAUAUGCAUAAAGGAAAGUAAACCCAUAAUAAGUGGAGGUACAUGUGGAUAAGAGGAUCGUUCACUGAAAAUCUCAACAGCUCACUGUAAUCUACUGUGUGAAUGGAUGACUGUGUCUUGUCUCAUUUUUAAGUAAUAUCUUUUUUUUUUUUUUUUCUUCAGGGGUUAAUUGAAAUAUGCACCCACAAGAUUUGUGGCACGAAGUACAAAGUCAUCAUUCAAAUGUGGGGUUUUUAAGCAUAUGUGUGAAUGUCAGGCUUGAGGAAAAUGGUGGACAGCUAGUCAAGUCUCAGGUCUCUAUAUACAGAUACAAAGCUUGUCUGUCUGUAAAAGGUUCAGUACAACUUUAACUGUUUUUUUUCUCUCUCUCUCUCUCUCUCUCUCUCCUUUUCUCUCCUGCAGUACAUAACAAAUCAUCAAAGCCGGGAUUAAAAUUUCGUGAAGGAGCAGCUUUGACUCCUGGAAGACUUAAGCGUAUUAGCUUUAAAACCAAGAUGGGAGUUUCAAGUGAUGUAUGGCAGACUUCAAAGAUGUUUUAAUCUGUCAGUAGGCAUGCUCUUGCACAGGCUAUUUAUAUUAGGACACAGUGUUUCUGCUUGCACAUCCUAAUCAAUGGCUUCUCCGGCUAGACCCAGCCUGAUGUUGGUGUUAACCAGUUAUUAAACAGCUGCACUUCCUCUAGAUUGUUUCCUCUGCUUUUCUUUAGAGUGGUCUUUAGAGGCACGACAUGUACUUAUUAUGAAUAAUCAUUUUAUGAUUUAAUGGUCACAACUGCACUUCUAUUCAUGCUACUGAAAUGUAUUUGGACGCUUAUAAGGUCACACUUAAAAAUUUUAAUGUCUUUGCAUUAUAUCAGUAUAUCAAACAUUAAAACAUAUGACAAAAAGAGUUGUUUGGACACUUUCUGGUUAGUGUAACAUUCAUUGUUAAUGGGAUGAAUUACAGCUGUGUUUACUCUGAUGGAACACAUGUAGUUGACAUGAUAUCUAAGAGGAUCGGCAGUAUCUUGUGGUGUGACAUGCUACAUUUUUUUCCACAUCUUCUAGGCGUUCUGUAUAGCCUUAUUAAUUGGGACAUGAAUACACUAUAAAAAAUUAUAUGAUUUGUAAAUCAUGGCAACUUAUGUUUUAUCAUUGACUCGUCAACUUUUUAUAAAUUAUAUGAAGGUCAACUUUUUAAGUCGGUUUAAUGUUAUUUAAGUUGAAAUGACUUUUACAACCAAGUUGAUUAUACUUAAAAUUUUAAGGCAGCAACUAAAGUUUUUAAAUUGAAAUAGGUGAAUUUUUUUACAGUGAAUAUUGCUACUGUUAAAAUGAAUUUGUUGCACUGCAGAACAAUUUAAAAUAAUUAUCUAUCAAAGGGAAAUUGUGUUUAAAAUGUUUUGACUAAAAUAAAUGUUGACCACAGGACUUGAAACA
This is a long non-coding RNA of Cyprinus carpio (common carp), 1652 nucleotides long. NCBI's taxonomy places the organism in Eukaryota, Metazoa, Chordata, Actinopteri, Cypriniformes, Cyprinidae. The record is from Ensembl.